ACCAAAUUGGAAUUGAUCGGAAAAAAAAAAGAGAAAAUAAACCAAAUUUAACCAAAUCAAGCCUUUGUCACAAUCAAGUGGGGUCGGCUACAUGAAUAUUUUUAUGCUAUUGAGCUCGAUCAAGAGCCAAAUGUUCAUCGACAUUCAAUACUAUUAUAUUCUUUUUUACUACUGCAUCUUAAGUUAACUUCAGUUUACCCCUUCCCUAGUGUUGUUACUAUAUAUAAUCAUAUCAGUUUUUUUUACUACCGCAUCAGUUGGCCCACGACUUAUGUAUCGAACCACCUAAUAUUCAAAGUUAACAAAUGACAGAAUGUUGAAUCCCAUGUUCAUUUUAUGAAACCUAAUUAAGAGCUGCUAGUUGAAAAAUUACACAAUUAGUGAUCUC
RNAcentral lists this long non-coding RNA (388 nucleotides) under Actinidia chinensis (golden kiwifruit). RNAcentral describes it as "long non-coding RNA (ACHI_LNC000306)". Lineage: Eukaryota; Viridiplantae; Streptophyta; Magnoliopsida; Ericales; Actinidiaceae. The record is from RNAcentral.